GACGAACGCUGGCGGCGUGCUUAACACAUGCAAGUCGAACGGAAAGGCCCUGCUUUUGUGGGGGUGCUCGAGUGGCGAACGGGUGAGUAACACGUGAGUAACCUGCCCUUGACUUUGGGAUAACUUCAGGAAACUGGGGCUAAUACCGGAUAGGAGCUCCUGCUGCAUGGUGGGGGUUGGAAAGUUUCGGCGGUUGGGGAGGGACUCGCGGCUUAUCAGCUUGUUGGUGGGGUAGUGGCUUACAAGGCUUUGACGGGUAGCCGGCCUGAGAGGGUGACCGGCCACAUUGGGACUGAGAUACGGCCCAGACUCCUACGGGAGGCAGCAGUGGGGAAUAUUGCACAAUGGGCGGAAGCCUGAUGCAGCAACGCCGCGUGCGGGAUGACGGCCUUCGGGUUGUAAACCGCUUUCGCCUGUGACGAAGCGUGAGUGACGGUAAUGGGUAAAGAAGCACCGGCUAACUACGUG
RNAcentral lists this ribosomal RNA (468 nucleotides) under uncultured bacterium. Its description in RNAcentral is "partial 16S ribosomal RNA". It matches the Rfam family "Bacterial small subunit ribosomal RNA", at positions 28 to 507 of the family's 1533-position model. The record is from RNAcentral.